RNAcentral lists this transfer RNA (77 nucleotides) under Peptococcaceae bacterium CEB3. Its description in RNAcentral is "tRNA-Arg". It matches the Rfam family "tRNA". From Rfam's summary of the family: Transfer RNA (tRNA) molecules are approximately 80 nucleotides in length. Lineage: Bacteria; Bacillati; Bacillota; Clostridia; Eubacteriales; Peptococcaceae. RNAcentral also lists the same sequence under 2 other names. The record is from RNAcentral.
GCGCUCGUGGCUCAGCUGGAUAGAGCGUCUGACUACGAAUCAGAAGGUCGGGGGUUCGAAUCCCUCCGAGCGCACCA